CCCUUAGAUGUUCUGGGCCGCACGCGCGCUACAAUGGUCUUCGCAAACGGAUGCAUUCUCGAAGGAGAAUGCCAAUCUUGGAAUCUAUGCCUUGGUCGGGACAGUUGCUUGCAAUUUUUCGACUCGAACCAGGAAUUCCUUGUAAUCGUGAUUCAUCACAUCACGAUGAAUACGUCCCUGCCCUUUGUACACACCGCCCGUCGCUCCUACCGAUCGAAGAGUUAGGUGAAUUGUUUUGAUCGAUAAGAUUUGACUAUGGUCAACUCUCGUUGUGAAAUUCUGUAAAUCUGACUGUUUAGAGGAAGGAAAAGUCGUAACA
Molecule: ribosomal RNA, 319 nt
Filed under: uncultured eukaryote
Lineage: Eukaryota
Description: partial 18S ribosomal RNA
Rfam family: Eukaryotic small subunit ribosomal RNA
Source: RNAcentral